UCGAGUUUGGUGCCACUCGGCACCCGCUCCCAUCCUUUGUGAACCUGUCAGAUGUUGCUUUGGUGGACCGGCACUGUCCCCCGGCGUCAUGUUGGGGCGUGUCCGCCAGAGGCCCUCAAAACCUGUUCCAACGUCGAAAAUCUGAGCAAACUUUAAAAUAUUUA
RNAcentral lists this unclassified non-coding RNA (164 nucleotides) under uncultured fungus. RNAcentral's name for it is "sequence contains ITS1, 5.8S rRNA gene". The record is from RNAcentral. Lineage: Eukaryota; Fungi.